Non-coding RNA from Podarcis lilfordi (Lilford's wall lizard), 1160 nucleotides. Lineage: Eukaryota; Metazoa; Chordata; Lepidosauria; Squamata; Lacertidae. The record is from the annotation of a GenBank genome assembly.
UUUAAGCCAACACAGGCCACUCGCUCUUCUUCCUAGUUUUCAGUUUAACUCGGGAGGACACCAAGUUGAACUACCUUUAGGGAUCCGAUCUCACACUUGGAGGCACCAAAUCUCAUGAAAGAGGUAAAAAAUGAAAUCUCUCAAAACUAAAGCUCUCUCCUUGUCCUCAUGGCAUACUAGGGUUGCCAAGUCUCAAGAGUUUUAGUCUCCCACAGGGUCACAGGAGCAGAAGGGACAGCAAGUCAGGCAAGAACUUUAGCGACACCAUCGGAGUGCCUGGCUGAUGAGGCUACUUAGGGGGAAGUGCAUGGAAACACGGAUCAGGGCCUGACUGACAGCCAGGAAGGGGUGGAGCCUUCACUUCUAUGUAAGUUCCCAGACUAAGCUGUUGUGGUCUAUGAGAGGGAAGAGGGUGAAUGUCAACACACCACACACUUUCAGUCCUCCAUACCAUGCUUUGGAGAAUUUCUAACAUGCUGCCUGAACUGAGUAAACAAGUUCAGGAGACUCACAUCUCUGACAUGCAUUUAUAUGCUUCUUCCAAAGCCCUUUUUCUCUCUGGCAUCAUCCCAAAUCUUGUCACUGAACUACUGUGCAGGAGAAGAACCUAGGAGAUCCCUCAGCCCCAAGCUGUGGUUUAAUCUCUCACUCUCGCACAUCCAGAAACAUUUCCCAUCAAUUAUCCAAUAUCAAAGAACAGAUAACAAGCAGAAAAGGGAGCCCAAUGUAGGCCAUGCCUGUAAGACACGAAAAACACUUGGCAAGACAGAUCACGGAGCAAAAGCCACAUGCUACAGUGAAGGGUGAAAAACUGCCGAGAUACACCUGCUGGCCAGAGUGGAGAGGAAAUGUGGGAAAGUUCAACAGAAGAAUUUAUAGUUAUGGAGUAUAAAAGACAAAUUCAACAGUGCAACUCCAGCAAAGAAAAAUCCUUUCAAAUGAGCUCAAAUAGGGGAUGAAGUCACAAGGGUGCCCUUUACAUCCUGAACCCUUGCUUAAGUGCCUUCCUGACUUUUAUGACAGUAGAGGCUGAGUUAUGGAGUGAUCACUGGCACAGGGGGGAAACAUGUUUAUGUUCAGAAUUGCCCCUCUAAACGGCAACUGUUUGUGAAUGAGAUGGAACUCGAAGAUGGUAUCAAAAACAGAGUUCCAUAUGGUGG